GGUAUUGUUAGAUUAAUUUUGUGGGACAUUAACAACAGCAUCAGCAGCAACAUCAGCUUUAGUUAAUGAAUCCUGGAAAGUUAAGUGACUUUAUUU
Cercocebus atys (sooty mangabey) is the source of this 96-nucleotide microRNA precursor. Ensembl annotates it as microRNA 569. Its record names the gene MIR569. The record is from Ensembl. NCBI's taxonomy places the organism in Eukaryota, Metazoa, Chordata, Mammalia, Primates, Cercopithecidae.